UGUGGGAGCGGGCUUGCUCGCGAAGGCGGUUUGUCAGCUAACGAUUAUGUCGGCUGAUACACCGAAUUCGCGAGCAAGCCCGCUCCCACA
Molecule: unclassified non-coding RNA, 90 nt
Filed under: Pseudomonas sp. NFACC08-1
Lineage: Bacteria; Pseudomonadati; Pseudomonadota; Gammaproteobacteria; Pseudomonadales; Pseudomonadaceae
Also listed under: 1 other name
Source: RNAcentral